RNAcentral lists this ribosomal RNA (428 nucleotides) under bacterium. Its description in RNAcentral is "partial 16S ribosomal RNA". It matches the Rfam family "Bacterial small subunit ribosomal RNA", at positions 355 to 776 of the family's 1533-position model. The record is from RNAcentral.
UGGGGAAUCUUCCGCAAUGGACGAAAGUCUGACGGAGCAACGCCGCGUGAGUGAUGACGGCCUUCGGGUUGUAAAGCUCUGUUAAUCGGGACGAAUGGUUCUUGUGCAAAUAGUGCGAGGAUUUGACGGUACCGGAAUAGAAAGCCACGGCUAACUACGUGCCAGCAGCCGCGGUAAUACGUAGGUGGCAAGCGUUGUCCGGAAUUAUUGGGCGUAAAGCGCGCGCAGGCGGAUUGGUCAGUCUGUCUUAAAGUUCGGGGCUUAACCCCGUGAUGGGAUGGAAACUGCCAAUCUAGAGUAUCGGAGAGGAAAGUGGAAUUCCUAGUGUAGCGGUGAAAUGCGUAGAUAUUAGGAAGAACACCAGUGGCGAAGGCGACUUUCUGGACGAAAACUGACGCUGAGGCGCGAAAGCCAGGGGAGCGAACGGG